CGGCUAACUACGUGCCAGCAGCCGCGGUAAUACGUAGGNGGCAAGCGUUGUUCGGAAUCAUUGGGCGUAAAGCGCGCGCAGGCGGUCCNNUAAGUCNGANGUGAAANCCCUNGGCUCAANNNNGGAGGGUCAUUGGAAACUNNNNGACUNGAGANCNGAAGAGGAAAGCGGAAUUCCAAGUGUAGCGGUGAAAUUCGUAGAGAUUUGGAGGAACACCAGUGGCGAAGGCGGCUNUCUGGUUUGUAUCUGACGCUGAGGCGCGAAAGCGUGGGGAGCAAACAGGAUUAGAUACCCUGGUAGUCCACGCCGUAAACGAUGAGUGCUAAGUGUUAGGGGGUUUCCGCCCCUUAGUGCUGCAGCUAACGCAUUAAGCACUCCGCCUGGGGAGUACGGUCGCAAGACUGAAACUCAAAGGAA
RNAcentral lists this ribosomal RNA (417 nucleotides) under uncultured bacterium. Its description in RNAcentral is "partial 16S ribosomal RNA". It matches the Rfam family "Bacterial small subunit ribosomal RNA", at positions 494 to 909 of the family's 1533-position model. The record is from RNAcentral.